AACGAACGUUGGCGGCGCGCCUAACACAUGCAAGUCGCACGAGAAAGGGAGCAAUCCCCGGUACAGUGGCGCACGGGUGAGUAACACGUGGAUAAUCUUCCCUCGGGCGGGGGAGUAGCCUUCCGAAAGGAGGGCGUAAUACCGCAUAAGACCACGGCCAGUACGCUGGCUGAGGUCAAAGACAGGCCUCUUCAUGAAAGACUUGCACCUGAGGAUGAGUCCGCGGCCCANCAGCUAGUUGGUAGUGUUAAAGACUACCAAGGCUAAGACGGGUAGCUGGUCUGAGAGGAUGAUCAGCCACACUGGAACUGAGACACGGUCCAGACUCCUACGGGAAGGCAGCAGUGGGGAAUCUUGCGCAAUGGACGAAAGUCUGACGCAGCGACG
Molecule: ribosomal RNA, 387 nt
Filed under: uncultured bacterium
Lineage: Bacteria
Description: bacterial SSU rRNA
Rfam family: Bacterial small subunit ribosomal RNA
Source: RNAcentral